GAAAUGCGAUAAUUAAUGUGAAUUGCAGAAUUCAGUGAAUCAUCGAGUCUUUGAACGCACAUUGCGCCCCCUGGUAUUCCGGGGGGCAUGCCUGUCCGAGCGUCAUUGCUGCCCUCAAGCACGGCUUGUGUUGGGGACCUGCGGCUGCCCGCAGGCCCUGAAAAACAGUGGCGGGCUCGCUGUCACACCGAGCGUAGUAGCAUACAUUCUCGCUCAGGGCGUGCUGCGGGUUCCGGCCGUUAAACGACCUUCAUAACCCAAGGUUGACCUCGGAUCAGGUAGGAAGACCCGCUGAACUUAAGC
Molecule: unclassified non-coding RNA, 303 nt
Filed under: plant metagenome
Description: partial contains 5.8S ribosomal RNA, internal transcribed spacer 2, and large subunit ribosomal RNA
Rfam family: 5.8S ribosomal RNA (bases 1-105)
Source: RNAcentral